CCUACGGGUGGCUGCAGUGGGGAAUCUUGGACAAUGGGCGCAAGCCUGAUCCAGCCAUGCCGCGUGAGUGAAGAAGGCCUUAGGGUUGUAAAGCUCUUUUACCAGGGACGAUAAUGACGGUACCUGGAGACUAAGCCCCGGCAGACUUCGUGCCAGCAACCGCGGUCAUACGAAGGGGGCUAGCGUGGUUCGGAAUUACUGGGCGUAAAGCGCACGUAGGCGGGUCGUUAAGUCAGGGGUGAAAUCCCGGGGCUCAACUCCGGAACUGCCCUUGAUACUGGCGAGCUAGAGGUCGAGAGAGGUGAGUGGAAUUCCGAGUGUAGAGGUGAAAUUCGUAGAGAUUCGGAAGAACACCAGUGGCGAAGGCGGCUCACUGGCUCGAUACUGACGCUGAGGUGCGAAAGCGUGGGGAGCAAACAGGAUUAGAUACCCUAGUAGUC
This 440-nucleotide ribosomal RNA is filed under the name uncultured bacterium. RNAcentral's name for it is "partial 16S ribosomal RNA". It matches the Rfam family "Bacterial small subunit ribosomal RNA", at positions 338 to 795 of the family's 1533-position model. The record is from RNAcentral.